Cinara cedri is the source of this 418-nucleotide non-coding RNA. NCBI's taxonomy places the organism in Eukaryota, Metazoa, Arthropoda, Insecta, Hemiptera, Aphididae. The record is from the annotation of a GenBank genome assembly.
GGGCGUCGCGGCGGAGGAGAGAGAGAGAGAGAACGCCAACCACCUCCUCCCCCCUCCAUCGCCGGGGCCAAUUGUUUUAUCGCGCGGGCCGUUUGAUUUCGAUUUAACCGACGACCCCGGACCGAAUCGAUCGGUAUCGAUGUCGGCGUUGUUAUACGCGUGUUUCGCGCGCGCCGGUCGGCGUUAUUAACUUUUGAGUUUUUUUUUUUUAAUUUUUUUUUUCCCGCCAAUAAUUUUGUCAUUUAUUCGCUCGCUCGAUCUCUCCCGUUUACGGUCUAUAAUAAUAUAUUAUCGUAAUUAUCGUGUCGCGUUAUUUAUCGUCGUUAUCGAUACUGUACUACGUACAAAUGUAUAUUUAUAGAGUUAUUCCCUGUCAAAACAUUACAGACACGACUGUCAUCGAACUGCCGCUGACGAG